This 61-nucleotide transfer RNA is filed under the name Megalothorax incertus. RNAcentral describes it as "tRNA-Trp". The record is from RNAcentral. Lineage: Eukaryota; Metazoa; Arthropoda; Collembola; Neelipleona; Neelidae.
AAGAUUUUAAGUUAAUUAAACUAUAAGCCUUCAAAGCUUAAAUUUCUUCAAGAAAAUCUUA